AUUGAACGCUGGCGGCAUGCCUUACACAUGCAAGUCGAACGGCAGCACGGGAGCAAUCCUGGUGGCGAGUGGCGAACGGGUGAGUAAUAUAUCGGAACGUGCCCAGUCGUGGGGAUAACGUAGCGAAAGCUACGCUAAUACCGCAUACGAUCUAUGGAUGAAAGCGGGGGAUCGCAAGACCUCGCGCGAUUGGAGCGGCCGAUAUCAGAUUAGGUAGUUGGUGAGGUAAAGGCUCACCAAGCCGACGAUCUGUAGCUGGUCUGAGAGGACGACCAGCCACACUGGGACUGAGACACGGCCCAGACUCCUACGGGAGGCAGCAGUGGGGGAAUUUUGGACAAUGGGCGCAAGCCUGAUCCAGCAAUGCCGCGUGCAGGAUGAAGGCCUCGG
Molecule: ribosomal RNA, 390 nt
Filed under: uncultured bacterium
Lineage: Bacteria
Description: bacterial SSU rRNA
Rfam family: Bacterial small subunit ribosomal RNA
Source: RNAcentral